Molecule: ribosomal RNA, 465 nt
Filed under: Vreelandella stevensii
Lineage: Bacteria; Pseudomonadati; Pseudomonadota; Gammaproteobacteria; Oceanospirillales; Halomonadaceae
Description: partial 16S ribosomal RNA
Rfam family: Bacterial small subunit ribosomal RNA
Source: RNAcentral
CCUACGGGAGGCAGCAGUGGGGAAUAUUGGACAAUGGGGGCAACCCUGAUCCAGCCAUGCCGCGUGUGUGAAGAAGGCCCUCGGGUUGUAAAGCACUUUCAGUGAGGAAGAACGCCUGGUGGUUAAUACCCAUCAGGAAAGACAUCACUCACAGAAGAAGCACCGGCUAACUCCGUGCCAGCAGCCGCGGUAAUACGGAGGGUGCGAGCGUUAAUCGGAAUUACUGGGCGUAAAGCGCGCGUAGGUGGCUUGAUAAGCCGGUUGUGAAAGCCCCGGGCUCAACCUGGGAACGGCAUCCGGAACUGUCAAGCUAGAGUGCAGGAGAGGAAGGUAGAAUUCACGGUGUAGCGGUGAAAGGCGUAGCGAUCGGGAGGAAUACCAGUGGCGAAGGCGGCCUUCUGGACUGACACUGACACUGAGGUGCGAAAGCGUGGGUAGCAAACAGGAUUAGAUACCCUGGUAGUC